RNAcentral lists this ribosomal RNA (253 nucleotides) under uncultured bacterium. RNAcentral describes it as "partial 16S ribosomal RNA". It matches the Rfam family "Bacterial small subunit ribosomal RNA", at positions 524 to 776 of the family's 1533-position model. The record is from RNAcentral.
UACAGAGGUCUCGAGCGUUAGGCGGGAUCACUGGGCUUAAAGCGUGUGUAGGCGGAUCGUUAAGUGCCUUGUGAAAUCCCACGGCUUAACCGUGGAACUGCUUGGCAUACUGGCGGUCUUGAGCAACCUAGGGGCGAGCGGAACAAAUGGUGGAGCGGUGAAAUGCGUAGAUAUCAUUUGGAACGCCAAUGGUGAAAACAGCUCGCUGGGGGUUUGCUGACGCUGAGACACGAAAGCCAGGGGAGCAAACGGG